Molecule: microRNA precursor, 89 nt
Filed under: Ovis aries (sheep)
Lineage: Eukaryota; Metazoa; Chordata; Mammalia; Artiodactyla; Bovidae
Description: miRNA (ENSOARG00000023138.1)
Source: RNAcentral
UGUUGGGUUGGCAAAAAAAUUUUGUUCAGGUUUUUCUGUAAGAUGUUAUGGAAAAAGCUGAACGAACUUUUUGGCCAACCCAGUAGUAU